RNAcentral lists this ribosomal RNA (198 nucleotides) under uncultured bacterium. RNAcentral's name for it is "partial 16S ribosomal RNA". It matches the Rfam family "Bacterial small subunit ribosomal RNA", at positions 328 to 539 of the family's 1533-position model. The record is from RNAcentral.
ACGCUCGACACCUACGGGAGGCAGCAGUGGGGAAUAUUGCACAAUGGGGGAAACCCUGAUGCAGCGACGCCGCGUGAAGGAUGAAGUAUUUCGGUAUGUAAACUUCUAUCAGCAGGGAAGAAAGUGACGGUACCUGACUAAGAAGCCCCGGCUAACUACGUGCCAACAGCCGCGGUAAUCUGAGCGGGCUGGCAAGGC